RNAcentral lists this ribosomal RNA (439 nucleotides) under uncultured bacterium. RNAcentral describes it as "bacterial SSU rRNA". It matches the Rfam family "Bacterial small subunit ribosomal RNA", at positions 959 to 1397 of the family's 1533-position model. The record is from RNAcentral.
ACGCGCGGAACCUUACCAGGUCUUGACAUCCCAUUGACCGCUAUGGAGACAUAGCUUUCCCUUCGGGGACAGUGGUGACAGGUGGUGCAUGGUUGUCGUCAGCUCGUGUCGUGAGAUGUUGGGUUAAGUCCCGCAACGAGCGCAACCCUUGAUCUUAGUUGCCAGCAUUUAGUUGGGCACUCUAAGGUGACUGCCGGUGACAAACCGGAGGAAGGUGGGGAUGACGUCAAAUCAUCAUGCCCCUUAUGACCUGGGCUACACACGUGCUACAAUGGACGGUACAAACGGUUGCCAACCCGCGAGGGGGAGCUAAUCCGAUAAAACCGUUCUCAGUUCGGAUUGUAGGCUGCAACUCGCCUACAUGAAGCCGGAAUCGCUAGUAAUCGCGGAUCAGCAUGCCGCGGUGAAUACGUUCCCGGGCCUUGCACACACCGCCCGU